This 618-nucleotide ribosomal RNA is filed under the name uncultured bacterium. RNAcentral's name for it is "bacterial SSU rRNA". It matches the Rfam family "Bacterial small subunit ribosomal RNA", at positions 202 to 820 of the family's 1533-position model. The record is from RNAcentral.
UAAAGAUUCAUCGCUGAUAGAUAGGCAUGCGUUCCAUUAGGCAGUUGGCGGGGUAACGGCCCACCAAACCGACGAUGGAUAGGGGUUCUGAGAGGAAGGUCCCCCACAUUGGUACUGAGACACGGACCAAACUCCUACGGGAGGCAGCAGUGAGGAAUAUUGGUCAAUGGGCGUAAGCCUGAACCAGCCAAGUCGCGUGAGGGAUGAAGGUUCUAUGGAUCGUAAACCUCUUUUAUAAGGGAAUAAAGUGUGGGACGUGUCCUAUUUUGUAUGUACCUUAUGAAUAAGGAUCGGCUAACUCCGUGCCAGCAGCCGCGGUAAUACGGAGGAUCCGAGCGUUAUCCGGAUUUAUUGGGUUUAAAGGGUGCGUAGGCGGCCUUUUAAGUCAGCGGUGAAAGUCUGUGGCUCAACCAUAGAAUUGCCGUUGAAACUGGGGGGCUUGAGUAUGUUUGAGGCAGGCGGAAUGCGUGGUGUAGCGGUGAAAUGCUUAGAUAUCACGCAGAACCCCGAUUGCGAAGGCAGCCUGCCAAGCCAUGACUGACGCUGAUGCACGAAAGCGUGGGGAUCAAACAGGAUUAGAUACCCUGGUAGUCCACGCAGUAAACGAUGAUCACUAGC